AUCCUCCUGCCUUGGCCUCCUAAAGUGCUGGGAUUUCAGGUUCAGGGAGCAAGUUUCCGAGGUUGGAAAGAAGUGACUUCACUGUUUAACAAAGAUGAUGAGCAGCAUCUCCUGGAAAGAUGUAAAUCUCCCAAGUCCAAAGGAACUAACUUACGAUUAAAAGAAGAGUUGAAGGCAGAGAAGAAAUCUGGAUUUUGGGACAAUUUGGUUUUAAAACAGAAUAUACAGUCUAAAAAACCAGAUGAAAUUGAAGGUUGG
Molecule: small RNA, 258 nt
Filed under: Pan troglodytes (chimpanzee)
Lineage: Eukaryota; Metazoa; Chordata; Mammalia; Primates; Hominidae
Description: processed transcript
Source: RNAcentral